RNAcentral lists this non-coding RNA (67 nucleotides) under uncultured Comamonas sp. RNAcentral describes it as "ilvH RNA". It matches the Rfam family "ilvH RNA". Lineage: Bacteria; Pseudomonadati; Pseudomonadota; Betaproteobacteria; Burkholderiales; Comamonadaceae. The record is from RNAcentral.
GACGAAUCUAUUGUUUGCCAAGCUUGUCACUUACCGGUGGCAGGGGAGGGCAGCGAAAAGAGGGAUC